UCCCUUUGUUUUCAUUUCUUUUGUUUCUUCUAUUUUGUGAAACUUAUUUUUUUAUGUAACACAAUUUCUCUUUGCUGCAAUUUAAGUUUGAUUCUCUGAUAAUUGCAGUCCCCCCUCUCUUAUGAGUUUUACCAAAAUUUUAAUUUUGGAAGAGUCUCGCUACUGCUACCUCGACUAAACCUAUAAAUUAGCUGUUAGAUACCAAAUGUUAGAACAUUGGAGAUUGCACUUAUAAAAAACAUAGAAGCUUUUGAAUUAAACUAUGAUGAAAAGUCAGAUCUUAAUAGUCACUUUGAGUUCAAAUUGCAAACAUGGAUUUUAGUGAGAACAUACGUGAUUGCGUGUGUAUAAAUAUCUAACGAUUUUAUUAUUUAUUUUUGUAUGAUAUGUUUUCAUUGCUUUUAUUGUUUGUUAGCAUACUUUGUGAAAGAAAUCCUUAUGAAGUACGUUUUUCUUCAAUCUCGGUGGAAGUGCGUCAUGUCCAACUAUGUGCAUGGCAUUGUAGGCUUUGAAAUCGAAAAAAGCUUUAGAUCCUUAUUUUUAUUUUCAUUGCCCUUUAUUAGCAUGCUCAUUGAGCUCCAAGUCUUUUGGGGUUCUGUAGUGCUGUUAGAUGGUAUGAGUGAGAGUUUGAAGAUUCAGUGACAUACUAUGAGGAGCAAUCAUACAUUAUACUUUUUUAUAUUUUGUGGAAAAUCAUACGGUAGGUAUUUGUUCCAAGGUAAGCAAGUUGACAAAUCUGAUGUAGCAAAGAACCAAAGACGAAAUGAAAAACUCACAAGAAAAUUGGUGAAUCCAUCAUAGCAUUUAUUGUAUAUCCUAAAUUUCCUUUACCUUAGUAUACUGAGAAUACACAAGGAAUUGGUGAGAAUAAAGAACUUAUAUGUAGUGAUGCAGUAGCAUUUAUAGCAAUCCUUAAGCUCCUUCAGCGGAUUAUACUGAGAAUACCCACGAAAUUGGUGAGCAUAGUAGAAGUUUGCAAUGGACUAAGUUGUUAGAUUAUUAUUAGGAGUUUUUUCCCUUAUUAAUUAGGUAACUUGAUUUAUAGUAGAAUUAUGGUUUCGUCUAGUCGAUAUAAACUAAUGUAAUUUCAUGCUUUUCUAGAGUUGACUGUAUUACUCCCUCAGCCUUAGAAGCAUGUGUGUAAGUGCAAGUUUUUUCCCCCUCCAAAUGAUGGCUUUUUAAUACACAAGUCAAAUUAAAAUGUACUUUAAAUCUAGAAAAAGGAGAGGAGAAAACUCUGAACAAAACAGUGUAUUCAUGUAUCAAGAACCGUAAUGCAGUGAUUCAUCUUUUGACAUAGAAAGAUGAAUGAUCUCAAGCCUAGAUUCGUAUUUUAGACGUUUAAAUUAUAGUAGUAGAUUUUUAGUUAGGAGAAUUUUUUUUUUAAAUUAGGAUUUUUAUUAUAGUAAUAAAUUUUAAUUAGGAGAUUGAUUUUAAUUGGCAAAACUAAUGAUUAUCCCACUAUAGUGGACACUUUUUACUUAAUACAUCAUUGAACUUUUAAUUUUUGCAAUUACCACAUUAAACUAACUAAAAAAGUAAAAUCGAACCAUUUCGUUAAAUUGUCCAAACCUGUCAAACUAUUUCAAGUUUUUUUCCUACAUGGCUGAUAAAAAAAUAGAAAUAGAAAAAGAAAAUAAAAUAAUGACCUGUUCUGCGCCUACAUAGUAUUUUUUUUUUGGUGAAGCACCUACGUAGAGAGCUUCGAAUGUCAUGAAUUAACAACAUUAGAGAACUCGCCACCAGAGAUGGCGAAACCCAACCAGUAGCAUUAGAGAACUUGUCGCGGGCGAUGGCAAACCCCCCUGAACGUUCCCAUCCGACUCAUCAUUUUUUUUAUCGCCGAUCAUCUCUUAGUAACGAAGAAUGCGACGUUAGGAUUUAGGGUUUCUAAAUCCACCAAUUGUUUCUUCAACAAUCUGUCGGUGCCCCCCCCUACCCAAUCCAACCGCCACAGACGACUGCGGUUCAAGGAAUUGGGAUAGAAACUAGUGUUUACUACCGCCGGAGGUGAAGUUUAUUGGGGCCGAUGAGGAUUUUUUACGUGAAGAUGAAGAAUCUUGAUUUGCUGUUCAACAACAAGAUUAUAGUUCAUGGACUUGCAGGGCAGUUUAGACAUUCUAUUUUUUUCACCAGCCACGUAUGAAAUUUCUAGAGCAAAUGUAAUGAGCGUUUAAUUAUUUUAAUAGAAUCGUCUAAUUUCAAUUUCUAAUUAAUUCAAUGUGGUAAUUGCAUUUUUUUUAAAAUUUAGUGUUGUAAUAAGUAAAAUAUGCCAACUGCUGUGGGGAAAUCAUUAGUUUUGCCGAUUUUAAUUAUAAAUUAGAAUUUAAUUAGGAGAUUGAUUUUAGUUAUAAAUAGUUUGAUACUCCGUGCGAGGCACGUGCUAGUUUAUAUCGUUCUUUUCAUAAAUAUUUGAUAAUUUUUUAUUGAUAUGUAUUUAUCAUUUUUUAUUGACAUAAUACAUAUAUAAUGUUGAAGAUAAUUUGAAUCAGCAUAUAACUUUUAGUAUUUCAAGAAGAAAUGUAACGCCCCCAAAUCCAGGUCUGCCCGGAUUCGUCCUUCAAAUAACCUGACUGAUAAUUCAAUUCUCGUGAACAGAUGACCAACUUUCUUUUUCUUCCAUUUUCUUCCAGAAUGAACGGGCAGUGUCUUGACAUUUUUUUUCAAAUACCCCAUCCAUGCUUAUAUGUGAAUCUUUUAUCAGUAUCUCGUUGACUAUUUUCUAUCUCAAUAAAUCUUUCCUGCAAUUGGCCCACGUCAUUAUCCAUGAAGACCAAAAAUAUUAAUUUAGCAUUUAUUCAUUUUUAAUUAUUUUAUUCUUAGUUAAUAAUUACCUGAAUUCUUCAUUUCUGCAAUUGACUAUUUUCGUGAUCUACCUUGUCAAAUUAUAUAUAUAUAUAUAUAUAUAUAUAUAUAUACAUAUAUAUAUAUAUUGGGUUUUACCACUUUUAUCUACUGUUCAUGACGGAUUACUAUUCAUGCCGGAGUACUAUUCAUGACAGAAGUUAAUUUUUCUUGUCCAAAUUUGCCCAAAUCAUUAAUAUUAAUCAUAUUGAUUUUAACAUUAAACAUUUAUUUAUUUAACUUUUCUCCCUUAUUUUGUAAUUUCAAAUGCUCAAAUUAGGAUUCCUAGUUCUUAUAUUCUAGGAUUUUCUUUCCCGUUUUCGCUAAAAGUUUAUGUUCUUAUGCAUGAUUUUUGCUGCAUUAACACAUCAUAUAUUAUUUUACUAUGUUGUGAGGAAUGUAUCAACAUCAUAUAAAAUAUAUAAAAAAGAAUACUUAAAACAUACCUUCUAAUUUUGUUUUUCUACGUUUUUCCCAUUUUUUCUUGUUCUGCUAAUGUUCAGCUGUGGCCUCCUCUUCAUUUUUCUUUCUCACGCCUCUUCUCCCACUCUUAUUUCUGACUUCCCUCUUUUUCCUUCUUUUAGGAAUAUAUAUAUAUAUAUAUAUAUAUAUAUAUAUAUAUAUAUAUAUAUAUAUCUUUACUAGGAGAAUAAGUAGGGAGAAGGGUACGUGUAUAUCUAUAUAUAUAUAUAAUUUAUAUAUAAAUCACUUACCUAGCAUUCAUUUAAUAAGUAGGGAAUGCAGGUGACUCUAUGUAACUCCGUUAGAAGAAGAAUAGGUAGAUGAUACCUAUUUCCCAUGUGAACCUUCAACUAAAAU
RNAcentral lists this long non-coding RNA (3663 nucleotides) under Panax ginseng (ginseng). RNAcentral describes it as "long non-coding RNA (PGIN_LNC007489)". Lineage: Eukaryota; Viridiplantae; Streptophyta; Magnoliopsida; Apiales; Araliaceae. The record is from RNAcentral.